UCCGGUGACCAUACUGGAGAGGAUACACCCGUUCCCAUCCCGAACACGGAAGUUAAGCUCUUCGAGGCCGAUGGUACUUGGGCUUUUGCCCUGGGAGAGUAGGUCGUUGCCGGAA
This 115-nucleotide ribosomal RNA is filed under the name Desulfoscipio gibsoniae DSM 7213. Lineage: Bacteria; Bacillati; Bacillota; Clostridia; Eubacteriales; Desulfallaceae. The record is from RNAcentral.